AUUGAACGCUGGCGGAAUGCUUUACACAUGCAAGUCGAACGGCAGCACGGGGCAACCUGGUGGCGAGUGGCGAACGGGUGAGUAAUAUAUCGGAACGUGCCCAAUCGUGGGGGGAUAACGUAGCGAAAGUUACGCUAAUACCGCAUACGAUCUACGGAUGAAAGCGGGGGAUCGCAAGACCUCGCGCGAAUGGAGCGGCCGAUAUCAGAUUAGGUAGUUGGUGGGGUAAAGGCUCACCAAGCCAACGAUCUGUAGCUGGUCUGAGAGGACGACCAGCCACACUGGAACUGAGACACGGUCCAGACUCCUACGGGAGGCAGCAGUGGGGAAUUUUGGACAAUGGGCGCAAGCCUGAUCCAGCCAUUCCGCGUGCAGGAUGAAGGCCUUCGGGUUGUAACUGCUUUGUACGGUAACGAAACGGUACUGCCUAAUACGGCGGCGUAAUGACGGUACCGUAA
RNAcentral lists this ribosomal RNA (458 nucleotides) under uncultured bacterium. RNAcentral's name for it is "bacterial SSU rRNA". It matches the Rfam family "Bacterial small subunit ribosomal RNA", at positions 30 to 484 of the family's 1533-position model. The record is from RNAcentral.